AUACGGAGGAUCCGAGCGUUAUCCGGAUUUAUUGGGUUUAAAGGGUGCGCAGGCGGCCAUUUAAGUCAGCGGUUAAAUCGUGGGGCUCAACCCCAUUCUGCCGUUGAUACUGGGUGGCUUGAUUGCGGUCGAGGUUGGCGGAAUUCGUUGUGUAGCGGGUGAAUGCAUAGAUAUGACGAAGAACACCGAUUGCGUAGGCAGCUGACCAGACCGCAAAUGACGCUCAUGCACGAAAGUGCGGGGAUCGAACAGGAUUAGAUACCCUGGUAGUCCGCACAGUAAACGAUGAAUACUUGUUUUCGGCGAUAUAAUGUCGGAGGCAAAGCGAAAGCGAUAAGUAUUCCACCUGGGGAGUACGCCGGCAACGGUGAAACUCAAAUGAAUUGGCGGGG
RNAcentral lists this ribosomal RNA (392 nucleotides) under uncultured bacterium. Its description in RNAcentral is "partial 16S ribosomal RNA". It matches the Rfam family "Bacterial small subunit ribosomal RNA", at positions 523 to 918 of the family's 1533-position model. The record is from RNAcentral.